This 645-nucleotide ribosomal RNA is filed under the name uncultured bacterium. RNAcentral describes it as "bacterial SSU rRNA". It matches the Rfam family "Bacterial small subunit ribosomal RNA", at positions 9 to 649 of the family's 1533-position model. The record is from RNAcentral.
GAGUUUGAUCAUGGCUCAGAUUGAACGCUGGCGGCAGGCCUAACACAUGCAAGUCGAGCGGAUGAGAAGAGCUUGCUCUUCGAUUCAGCGGCGGACGGGUGAGUAAUACCUAGGAAUCUGCCUGGUAGUGGGGGACAACGUUUCGAAAGGAACGCUAAUACCGCAUACGUCCUACGGGAGAAAGCAGGGGACCUUCGGGCCUUGCGCUAUCAGAUGAGCCUAGGUCGGAUUAGCUAGUUGGUGAGGUAAUGGCUCACCAAGGCUACGAUCCGUAACUGGUCUGAGAGGAUGAUCAGUCACACUGGAACUGAGACACGGUCCAGACUCCUACGGGAGGCAGCAGUGGGGAAUAUUGGACAAUGGGCGAAAGCCUGAUCCAGCCAUGCCGCGUGUGUGAAGAAGGUCUUCGGAUUGUAAAGACUUUUAAGUUGGGAGGAAGGGCAGUAAGCGAAUACCUUGCUGUUUUGACGUUACCGACAGAAUAAGCACCGGCUAACUCUGUGCCAGCAGCCGCGGUAAUACAGAGGGUGCAAGCGUUAAUCGGAAUUACUGGGCGUAAAGCGCGCGUAUGUGGUUCGUUAAGUUGGAUGUGAAAUCUCCGGGCUCAACCUGGGAACUGCAUCCAAAACUGGCGAGCUAGAGUAG